UGAAUUCAGAUCAAGAUCAAGCCAAAUCACUGCUACCCGAAGGUGAAUUUUCAGAAACUUCAAGUGUCUGAUUCUCUCUCAAUUAUCCACCAUUCUCUUUGAUUAUUGGUUAUCUGAAGUCCUACCGAUGUAGGCAACAAGAUUGAGUUACUUUGAGGUCAAAUCGAAGCAACUCAGAUCGUGUACCUCAAAAUUCAAUUUCUCAUAUCUCUCAAUAUAUUUGGAAUUGGACAAAAUUGAGGCCAGAUUCGAGCUCCAGAGCUUUUUCUCUUUAAAAUAG
Molecule: long non-coding RNA, 280 nt
Filed under: Lathyrus oleraceus (garden pea)
Lineage: Eukaryota; Viridiplantae; Streptophyta; Magnoliopsida; Fabales; Fabaceae
Description: Pisum sativum (pea) long non-coding RNA (PSAT_LNC020412)
Source: RNAcentral